RNAcentral lists this ribosomal RNA (274 nucleotides) under uncultured bacterium. RNAcentral's name for it is "partial 16S ribosomal RNA". It matches the Rfam family "Bacterial small subunit ribosomal RNA", at positions 523 to 796 of the family's 1533-position model. The record is from RNAcentral.
AUACAGAGGGUGCGAGCGUUAAUCGGAAUUACUGGGCGUAAAGCGUACGUAGGCGGUUAUUUAAGUCAGAUGUGAAAGCCCCGGGCUUAACUUGGGAACUGCAUUUGAAACUGGGUAACUAGAGUUUAGUAGAGGGGAGUGGAAUUUCAGGUGUAGCGGUGAAAUGCGUAGAGAUCUGAAGGAACACCAGUGGCGAAGGCGACUCCCUGGACUAAAACUGACGCUGAGGUACGAAAGCGUGGGUAGCAAACAGGAUUAGAUACCCUUGUAGUCC